Molecule: ribosomal RNA, 489 nt
Filed under: uncultured bacterium
Lineage: Bacteria
Description: bacterial SSU rRNA
Rfam family: Bacterial small subunit ribosomal RNA
Source: RNAcentral
AGAGUUUGAUCAUGGCUCAGGAUGAACGCUGGCGGCGUGCCUAACACAUGCAAGUCGAGCGAUUCUCUUCGGAGAAGAGCGGCGGACGGGUGAGUAACGCGUGGGUAACCUGCCCUGUACACACGGAUAACAUACCGAAAGGUAUGCUAAUACGAGAUAAUAUGCUUUUAUCGCAUGGUAGAAGUAUCAAAGCUCCGGCGGUACAGGAUGGACCCGCGUCUGAUUAGCUAGUUGGUGAGGUGACGGCUCACCAAGGCGACGAUCAGUAGCCGACCUGAGAGGGUGAUCGGCCACAUUGGAACUGAGACACGGUCCAAACUCCUACGGGAGGCAGCAGUGGGGAAUAUUGCACAAUGGGCGAAAGCCUGAUGCAGCAACGCCGCGUGAGCGAUGAAGGCCUUCGGGUCGUAAAGCUCUGUCCUCAAGGAAGAUAAUGACGGUACUUGAGGAGGAAGCCCCGGCUAACUACGUGCCAGCAGCCGCGGUAAU